GAAGUCACACAAGGAGAAUACUAGACAAGGAACACCAGAGGCUACCAGCAGCUAAGAGACAGGCCUGGAACAGAUCCUGCUCUCACAACCCUGAGAAGGAGUCAACCCUGCCAACACCUUGAUUUCAGACUUCUAACUUCCAGACUGUGAAACAACAGAUUUGGGGUAAGAAAAGCCGGAAUCUCCUUUUCAUUUGUACUUCGGGAUUUCUAACAUUUUCAUGAGGUUUUUGUAUUUCCUCGGUGAAUUACGUUAAUCAUCCUUUGCUUGUGGUGUCCCAGGGUCACAACGAGGGGAAAAUGCAACGUGAUGUGUACGGCACCAGGCACAAAAGCCGGUUGCGCUGAUGACAAACCCCAAGGAUCAGGAGUCAACCCAGAUGGAACUGUCUCCAAGCAGCUCUUUACGCAAGAUCGUCCAGUCCACAUCAAAGGAAGGGAGAGGCGCCGAUAGAGGUUAGAGGGAGACCAAAGCCUUCUCAAGCCAUCCGUGGCUCCACCUCUGCACGUACCAUGCCCAGAGGAUGCCCUCGUGGGCGCACACAAUCCCGCAAACACACACGAUGUGGGGUCACCUGCAGCACCACCCCUCUCUGAGCACCGUCACUCAGCACCCAGCAUUCUUUGUUCACCUACACACCUCUUACCCACCACUCCCUUUAUAUCUGCCUUUGUACCUGCACUUAGCAGUUCCCCAAAGACAGGAAUUGGGGCUCCCUCUGUCUCCCUGGGCCCUCUAUUGCCCAGCAAUGCCCAACACGUGGUGAAGCACGUGACAGUGAGUGGAAGAAAAGGGUCCUUGAAUGGUAAGUGAUGAGUGAAAGCAUUUUGUUAACCAGACAGGGCUGUGCGAAUAUGAGGGCUUUGGUCAUUAUGACAGUAAUUUAAAUCAUAGAGGUUCAGGACAUGAACAUAUCUUACAGGUUUACUGAAUCCUCCCGUUAGACGGAUGAGGAAACUGAGGUCCAGAAAGGACUGCCAGAGAUCACUCAUGGAGGAUGUCCUGCUUGAACCUCAACUAAAAAAAUCUCCUAACUCCCAGGGGAGAAGGGAUUCCUCCAUGGCCCCUCCCCCAGGCCAUUCUCCUCAGACCACGCCCCCUCCCCUGCCGGGCUCAAGCCGGCACAGACACAGGGAAGCCCAGAAGGAAGGGCCCAGUCUUCCUUCCUCCCGUGACUGCCUUCUUCCAGACACCCGAGAGUCAUGAGUGUAUCUGGGGUUCUUGAGGGCUGAAGAUGACGAGGUGCUGCUGUAAAGAAGCUGUGAAGUCUGAGUUUGCACUUCAGUGGAAGGCAGCGGCAGUGACAGCAGCGUGUGGAGGGGAAAACUGGAGGCUUAGCUCGGAAGCUCCCAGUGGAGCCGGGGGCAGUGGAAUCAGCAUGGACUCCAGAGCCAGGCCAACCUGGUUUUGACUCCUGACUCUGACGCUCAGCUGGGGGGUCACUUGGCAAGUUACUUCAUCCACAAGCCUCAGUUCCCCUCACCUGUCAUAUAGGAAUACUA
Long non-coding RNA from Lagenorhynchus albirostris (white-beaked dolphin), 1502 nucleotides. RefSeq lists it as uncharacterized. NCBI's taxonomy places the organism in Eukaryota, Metazoa, Chordata, Mammalia, Artiodactyla, Delphinidae. The transcript has 5 exons. The record is from RefSeq and is a predicted model, not a curated record.